Molecule: ribosomal RNA, 241 nt
Filed under: uncultured bacterium
Lineage: Bacteria
Description: partial 16S ribosomal RNA
Rfam family: Bacterial small subunit ribosomal RNA
Source: RNAcentral
UGGGUAACCUGCCUCAAAGAGGGGAAUAGCCUCCCGAAAGGGAGAUUAAUACCGCAUAAUAUGUUUAAGUCGCAUGACUUUAACAUCAAAGGAUUUUCUUUUAGAACUUCCACUUUGAGAUGGACCCGCGGCGCAUUAGCUAGUUGGUGAGGUAACGGCUCACCAAGGCAACGGUGCGUAGCCGACCUGAGAGGGGAUCGGCCACAUUGGAACUGAGACACGGUCCAGACUCCUACGGGAG